RNAcentral lists this transfer RNA (76 nucleotides) under Akkermansia muciniphila. Its description in RNAcentral is "tRNA-Trp". It matches the Rfam family "tRNA". Rfam says of the family: Transfer RNA (tRNA) molecules are approximately 80 nucleotides in length. RNAcentral also lists the same sequence under 77 other names. The record is from RNAcentral. Lineage: Bacteria; Pseudomonadati; Verrucomicrobiota; Verrucomicrobiia; Verrucomicrobiales; Akkermansiaceae.
AGGUCAGUAGUUCAAUCGGUAGAGCGUCGGUCUCCAAAACCGAAAGUUGGGGGUUCGAGUCCCUCCUGACCUGCCA